AUUGAACGCUGGCGGCAUGCCUUACACAUGCAAGUCGAACGGGCUUUGGGGCUUGCUCCAAGGUUAGUGGCGAACGGGUGAGUAAUAUAUCGGAACGUACCCUAGAGUGGGGGAUAACUAGUCGAAAGGCUGGCUAAUACCGCAUACGAUCUAAGGAUGAAAGUGGGGGACCUUCGGGCCUCAUGCUCAUGGAGCGGCCGAUAUCUGAUUAGCUAGUUGGUGGGGUAAAAGCCUACCAAGGCGACGAUCAGUAGCUGGUCUGAGAGGACGAUCAGCCACACUGGGACUGAGACACGGCCCAGACUCCUACGGGAGGCAGCAGUGGGGAAUUUUGGACAAUGGGCGAAAGCCUGAUCCAGCAAUGCCGCGUGAGCGAAGAAGGCCUUCGGGUUGUAAAGCUCUUUUGUCAGGGAAGAAACGGUGGGGGCUAAUAUCCUCUGCUAAUGACGGUACCCGAAGAAUAAGCACCGGCUAACUACGUGCCAGCCGCCGCGGUAA
RNAcentral lists this ribosomal RNA (498 nucleotides) under uncultured bacterium. RNAcentral's name for it is "partial 16S ribosomal RNA". It matches the Rfam family "Bacterial small subunit ribosomal RNA", at positions 30 to 523 of the family's 1533-position model. The record is from RNAcentral.